Molecule: ribosomal RNA, 468 nt
Filed under: uncultured bacterium
Lineage: Bacteria
Description: partial 16S ribosomal RNA
Rfam family: Bacterial small subunit ribosomal RNA
Source: RNAcentral
GACGAACGCUGGCGGCGUGCUUAACACAUGCAAGUCGAACGGAAAGGCCCUGCUUUUGUGGGGUGCUCGAGUGGCGAACGGGUGAGUAACACGUGAGUAACCUGCCCUUGACUUUGGGAUAACUUCAGGAAACUGGGGCUAAUAUCGGAUAGGAGCUCCUGCUGCAUGGUGGGGGUUGGAAAGUUUCGGCGGUUGGGGAUGGACUCGCGGCUUAUCAGCUUGUUGGUGGGGUAGUGGCUUACCAAGGCUUUGACGGGUAGCCGGCCUGAGAGGGUGACCGGCCACAUUGGGACUGAGAUACGGCCCAGACGCCAACGGGAGGCAGCAGUGGGGAAUAUUGCACAAUGGGCCGAAGCCUGAUGCAGCAACGCCGCGUGCGGGAUGACGGCCUUCUGGUUGUAAACCGCUUUCGCCGGUGACGAAGCGUGAGUGACGGUAAUGGGUAAAGAAGCACCGGCUAACUACGUG